CACGUGCUACAAUGGCGGUGACAAUGGGACGCGGAGGGGUGACCCCGAGCAAAUCUCAAAAAAACCGUCUCAGUUCGGAUUGCACUCUGCAACUCGAGUGCAUGAAGUUGGAGUUGCUAGUAAUCGCAGAUCAGAAUGCUGCGGUGAAUGCGUUCCCGGGUCUUGUACACACCGCCCGUCACACCAUGGAAGUUGGCAAUACCCGAA
This 207-nucleotide ribosomal RNA is filed under the name Nephroselmis pyriformis. RNAcentral describes it as "partial Bacterial small subunit ribosomal RNA". It matches the Rfam family "Bacterial small subunit ribosomal RNA", at positions 1219 to 1425 of the family's 1533-position model. The record is from RNAcentral. Lineage: Eukaryota; Viridiplantae; Chlorophyta; Nephroselmidophyceae; Nephroselmidales; Nephroselmidaceae.